ACUGAACGCUUUCUUCAUUCCUAACACAUGCAAGUCGAACGGUAACAGGAAGCAGCUUGCUGCUUCGCUGACGAGUGGCGGACGGGUGAGUAAUGUCUGGGAAACUGCCUGAUGGAGGGGGAUAACUACUGGAAACGGUAGCUAAUACCGCAUAACGUCGCAAGACCAAAGAGGGGGACCUUAGGGCCUCUUGCCAUCGGAUGUGCCCAGAUGGGAUUAGCUAGUAGGUGGGGUAACGGCUCACCUAGGCGACGAUCCCUAGCUGGUCUGAGAGGAUGACCAGCCACACUGGAACUGAGACACGGUCCAGACUCCUACGGGAGGCAGCAGUGGGGAAUAUUGCACAAUGGGCGCAAGCCUGAUGCAGCCAUGCCGCGUGUAUGAAGAAGGCCUUCGGGUUGUAAAGUACUUUCAGCGGGGAGGAAGGGAGUAAAGUUAAUACCUUUGCUCAUUGACGUUACCCGCAGAAGAAGCACCGGCUAACUCCGUG
RNAcentral lists this ribosomal RNA (490 nucleotides) under uncultured bacterium. RNAcentral's name for it is "partial 16S ribosomal RNA". It matches the Rfam family "Bacterial small subunit ribosomal RNA", at positions 30 to 507 of the family's 1533-position model. The record is from RNAcentral.